This 380-nucleotide ribosomal RNA is filed under the name uncultured eukaryote. Its description in RNAcentral is "partial 18S ribosomal RNA". It matches the Rfam family "Eukaryotic small subunit ribosomal RNA", at positions 592 to 976 of the family's 1831-position model. The record is from RNAcentral.
CAAUAGCGUAUAUUAAAGUUGUUGCGGUUAAAAAGCUCGUAGUUGGAUUUCUGUUGGGAACGACCGGUCCGCCCAUUGGGUGUGUAUCUGGCUUGUUCUCGGCAUCUUCUUGGUGAACGUUGCUGCACUUGACUGUGUGGAGCGCUACCCAGGACUUUUACUUUGAGGAAAUUAGAGUGUUUCAAGCAGGCAUAUGCCUUGAAUACAUUAGCAUGGAAUAAUAAGAUAGGACCUCGGUUCUAUUUUGUUGGUUUCUAGAGCUGAGGUAAUGAUUAAUAGGGAUAGUUGGGGGCAUUCGUAUUUAACUGUCAGAGGUGAAAUUCUUGGAUUUGUUAAAGACGGACUACUGCGUAAGCAUUUGCCAAGGAUGUUUUCAUUGA